GAAAAAGGGAAACGGGGAUGUGAAAAAAAAGGUGGGGUUUAAAUUUUUCUCAUUUCAGAUUUCAUAAAUAAAAAGAAAAUUUCUUCAAACAUUUUUUGAGAGGAUUAAUAUUCAACAACAUAGUGAAUUGCUCAAAGGCAAAAAAAAAUAUUUUAAGUUCAUUAGACCACAUUCAUUCUGUGUCAGAAACCUAUGCUGUGUCAACUAUUUAAUUUUAGAUUUAAAAAGUUUGAAGAAG
Molecule: long non-coding RNA, 238 nt
Filed under: Mytilus galloprovincialis (Mediterranean mussel)
Lineage: Eukaryota; Metazoa; Mollusca; Bivalvia; Mytilida; Mytilidae
Source: RNAcentral